This is a small nucleolar RNA of Jaculus jaculus (lesser Egyptian jerboa), 136 nucleotides long. NCBI's taxonomy places the organism in Eukaryota, Metazoa, Chordata, Mammalia, Rodentia, Dipodidae. The record is from Ensembl.
UUGCAUGUGGAAAGAUCUGCCUCUCGUUUCUUUGAGGGCAGGAGUGUAUCCAUAACAUGCUACAUUAAUCAAAGGAGUUCUCAGGGCUGCCAACCUUACAGUAGAGGUUGAGUAGUAGUAUAUUUCUCCUACAUUA